RNAcentral lists this ribosomal RNA (465 nucleotides) under uncultured bacterium. RNAcentral describes it as "partial 16S ribosomal RNA". It matches the Rfam family "Bacterial small subunit ribosomal RNA", at positions 338 to 795 of the family's 1533-position model. The record is from RNAcentral.
CCUACGGGAGGCUGCAGUAGGGAAUCUUCCACAAUGGGCGAAAGCCUGAUGGAGCAACGCCGCGUGGGUGAAGAAGGUCUUCGGAUCUUAAAACCCUGUUUUUAGAGAAGUAAGUGCGUGAGAGUAACUGUUUACGCUUCGACGGUAUCUAACCAGAAAGCCACGGCUAACUACGUGCCAGCAGCUGCGGUAAUACGUAGGUGGCGAGCGUUAUCCGGAUUUAUUGGGCGUAAAGGGAACGCAGGCGGUCUUUUAAGUCUGAUGUGAAAGCCUUCGGCUUAACCGGAGUAGUGCAUUGGAGACUGGGAGACUUGAGUACAGAGGAGGUGAGCGGAACUCCAGGUGUAGCGGUGAAAUGCGUAGAUAUAUGGAAGAACACCGGUGGCGAAGGCAGCUCUCUAAUCUGUGACUGACGCUGAGGUUCGAAAGCGUGGGUAGCAAACAGGAUUAGAUACCCCUGUAGUC